RNAcentral lists this long non-coding RNA (161 nucleotides) under Mustela putorius furo (domestic ferret). Its description in RNAcentral is "lncRNA (ENSMPUG00000028492.1)". The record is from RNAcentral. Lineage: Eukaryota; Metazoa; Chordata; Mammalia; Carnivora; Mustelidae.
GUUGGUGGCUCCUUUUUUGUGAAAGAGAUAUUUGAUUAGGGUUUUGACUGACCAAGUUGAUGGUUUCUAGGCCUAGAUUUCUUAGGUCUCAGCUUACUGGUUUGUUGUUUUGUCUCUUUAGGUUUGUUUUGUCUAUCAGGUUUGGGCUUAGCUUUUUCCUU